AAGUCGUAACAAGGUUUCCGUAGGUGAACCUGCGGAAGGAUCAUUAACACGUAUCCAACGUUAAACCCCCCGUGCACCUUCACAGAGCGCGCUGCUCCUCUCGACGUCAGCAAUCCUGGUGUAGUGCCCCUUUACGACGACCAAGUUAAAUUAGGCCUCUACCACAUAGCAAGUGCGCCGUGGUAGAGGAAAACGUACAACUGUUAACAAUGGAUAUCUUGGUUCUCGC
Molecule: unclassified non-coding RNA, 229 nt
Filed under: fungal sp.
Lineage: Eukaryota; Fungi
Description: partial internal transcribed spacer region
Rfam family: Eukaryotic small subunit ribosomal RNA (bases 1-46)
Source: RNAcentral